AAGUUACUCGGUACAUCGGUGACAGGUGGUGCAUGGUUGUCGUCAGCUCGUGUCGUGAGAUGUUGGGUUAAGUCCCGCAACGAGCGCAACCCCUAUUGUUAGUUGCCAUCAUUCAGUUUGGGCACUCUAGCGAGACUGCCGGUAAUAAACCGGAGGAAGGUGGGGAUGACGUCAAAUCAUCAUGCCCCUUAUGACCUGGGCUACACACGUGCUACAAUGGUUGGUACAACGAGUUGCGAGUCGGUGACGGCGAGCUAAUCUCUUAAAGCCAAUCUCAGUUCGGAUUGUAGGCUGCAACUCGCCUACAUGAAGUCGGAAUCGCUAGUAAUCGCGGAUCAGCACGCCGCGGUGAAUACGUUCCCGGGCCUU
This 369-nucleotide ribosomal RNA is filed under the name uncultured Streptococcus sp. RNAcentral's name for it is "bacterial SSU rRNA". It matches the Rfam family "Bacterial small subunit ribosomal RNA", at positions 1012 to 1382 of the family's 1533-position model. Lineage: Bacteria; Bacillati; Bacillota; Bacilli; Lactobacillales; Streptococcaceae. The record is from RNAcentral.